AGUCUUGGCGCUAGGAAGUGCCCACGGCAUGACGGUCACAUUGUUGGCAUCAGCCAUUGUUGACAGCCAAAGCCGCAGUCACACUUGCCACAGCAGCAAAAACAAAAGCAAGAAUAACAGCAACAGAAACAACAACAACAACAACAACAGCAGCAGGGCAGAAGCAACAGCCAUGCAACGCCAACAACACAAGCACACAAACGCCAGCAGGCCAACAACAAUAACAAACAGUUGUUGACAUUUAUGCCGGCGAAUGUCACAUGCCAGGCACGCCCCUCAGCGCACAACAGCAAGAAGGUACACUCGGAGAAAAGGUUUUAACGGAACUGUCAACAAAUAUUUAAGUGAUGUCUGACGAAAGCCGGGAUAGAAACAUAAGCAGUGAAACUACAACGAAUGCAACCCCUCGGCAAUAUGGAAAAGUGGCGCGUAAAGUCAAGGACGGCUUUCAGAGUUCCACUUAAGGCAGUAAUUCUUUAAGCUAAUGCACAAUUUAAUAUAUUUUUUACUACAAAAAAGCACCAUUAUCAAAAAUUGAAAAUUUCCUACUAAGAAAUACACGAAGUUAAAUUCAAAGGUAAUAUGUAAAUAAGGGAACUUCUUUAUUAAGAAUGGACAGAAAAAAUUUUUAUGUAAAACCUGUAAAGGAAUGUUGAUAAAAUUAUGGAUUACGUACUAUUUAUAAAAUAAAAGUUACAAUAAGGUUUUUUCAAAGCUUUCAAUUAA
Molecule: long non-coding RNA, 726 nt
Organism: Drosophila ficusphila
Lineage: Eukaryota; Metazoa; Arthropoda; Insecta; Diptera; Drosophilidae
Exons: 2
Source: RefSeq, a predicted model, not a curated record